RNAcentral lists this ribosomal RNA (302 nucleotides) under uncultured marine eukaryote. Its description in RNAcentral is "bacterial SSU rRNA". The record is from RNAcentral.
UUGUCUCCGUGUGCCGCUCCCAAUCAACCCGCGUUUGCCCCAGCCUCCUAUCGCACGGAAACGGAGUCCUGCUGGGGUCUCCUUAACUGGGGGUUCCAGCGCUUCCGCGCACAACGUGCGCUUACGGACCGUCCGUGGACGUUACUGUGAACAAAACAGCGUGUUCAAAGCAAGUGGCUUGCCUGCCCUGCAUGUUAAAGCAUGGAAUAACAAGGCAUCGACCACUCGGCGGUGCUUUUGUUGGUCUUUCCCUCCCGGUGGAAAUGCGCAGGCGUGCACACUGCCGGCCUUCUGGCCGGUCU